GAAUUCGGCAAAAAUAAUGUUCGCCUGUUUAACAAAAACAUGUCUUUUUGAAUUUAAUUUAAAGUCUAACCUGCCCACUGAAUUUUUAAAUGGCCGCAGUAUUUUGACUGUGCAAAGGUAGCAUAAUCAUUAGUCUCUUAAUUGGAGGCUGGAAUGAAUGGUUGGACGAAAUAUUAACUGUUUCAUUUAAAUUUUUUAUAGAAUUUUAUUUUUUAGUCAAAAAGCUAAAAUUUAUUUAAAAGACGAGAAGACCCUAUAAAUCUUUAUAUUUUUUUUUAUUUAAAUUAUAAAGAUUAAUUU
Molecule: ribosomal RNA, 300 nt
Filed under: Drosophila bifasciata
Lineage: Eukaryota; Metazoa; Arthropoda; Insecta; Diptera; Drosophilidae
Description: partial 16S ribosomal RNA
Rfam family: Archaeal large subunit ribosomal RNA (bases 1-181)
Source: RNAcentral